RNAcentral lists this transfer RNA (85 nucleotides) under Lentinula boryana. RNAcentral describes it as "tRNA-Asp". It matches the Rfam family "tRNA". From Rfam's summary of the family: Transfer RNA (tRNA) molecules are approximately 80 nucleotides in length. Their secondary structure includes four short double-helical elements and three loops (D, anti-codon, and T loops). The record is from RNAcentral. RNAcentral also lists the same sequence under 1 other name. Lineage: Eukaryota; Fungi; Basidiomycota; Agaricomycetes; Agaricales; Omphalotaceae.
UCCCUGGUAGUAUAUCGGUUAGUACACGCGCCUGUCAUCGCAUUUGCAAACGCGCGAAAGCUGGGUUCGACUCCCAGCCAGGGAG